Molecule: long non-coding RNA, 4750 nt
Filed under: Saimiri boliviensis boliviensis (Bolivian squirrel monkey)
Lineage: Eukaryota; Metazoa; Chordata; Mammalia; Primates; Cebidae
Description: lncRNA (ENSSBOG00000036793.1)
Source: RNAcentral
CGUGCCCGCCCCGGUCCCCCUGAGCCCUUGGCCCUCCCCGCCCCCACUACCCUUGUCCCCGGGUUGUCCCCGUCCCCUCCCCGCCACGGAUCCCCCCUCCAGCGUAUGCUGGGCCCAUUCCUCCCGCGGUUUGCUUCCCCCCGUUUCCUGCGUCUCUGCGGACCCCAUCUUGGGGUCCCCGGCUGGUCGGUGCCUUAUCACCCCACCCCUUUCUUCCCCCAUAGGAAGCCCUCCCCCCCAGCGCCUAUCUUUGUGGUGCCCUGCCUCACCCUCAUAGGAACCCCCCUAGCUCCCACAGAUUGACCCCUCCCCCACUCAGUGUUCCCUCGGGGGAGACAUCGCUCCUCUCGCGCCGCUGUAUUCCACUGUGUCCCCAGGCCUGGCCCGCCUUCUCGUUCGCUCUCGGGCCACCCAGCUCUCACCUGCCGCCCACCCCCUCCCCUCACCCAUCCUUCAGAAACCGGCACUGAGGGUCUGGCAGCAGCGGGUCCGGGAGUCUGGAGCCUUGCCCACGGCGGGUUGGUGUGGCACACAGAGUCGGAAAGAGCAGCCAGCCUGGGGUCCCGGUCUCGGAUACAGGGGAAGGCAGGCCAGCCAGUCUGUGCCCUGGGCGCUCCUCCUGCAGCGGGGGCUCCUGUCACCGGCAGAGCUACCCCCAUCCGGCUCAGGCAGAGCAGGGCGCAGGCCUUUGGUGCAGACCGAGCUCACCCUGAACAGGGCCGCUUGCAGACACAGAACUCCUAAACCCGCCUGGGCAGCCCCCUUAACCCCGGCACCCGGUUCCUUCUAAGUAGGUGUGAAGCCCAGGAAACCUUGACUGCCCGUCCUGCCCUAGGCAGCAGAGCUUCGAGGUUUAUCUCUGGGAUGGUCAGACUGUGUGCAGUCAGCUGGGUUGAUGCCCCUUAGGACCGGGUCGGGGUGGGGGACCCAGACCUUCUGCCCACCCCUGGUGACCUUCCUCUCUUUCCAGGAGAACAAGGGGUCUGUGGAAAUCAUGAGGAAGGACUUGAAUGAUGCCCGGGAUCUGCACGGCCAGGCGGAGUCGGCCGCCGCGGUGUGGAAGGGACACGUGAUGGACCGUAGGAAGAAGGCACUGACCGACUACAAGAAGCUACGGGCCUUCUUUGUGGAGGAGGAGGAGUACUUCCUUCAGGAGGCCGAGAAGGAGGAGGGGCUCCCCGAGGAUGAGCUGGCCGACCCCACCGAGCGCUUCAGGUCGCUGCUGCAGGCGGUGUCGGAGCUGGAGAAGAAGCACCGCAACCUGGGCCUCAGCAUGCUGCUGCAGUGAUGGCACCAGCCCACUGCCAUCCCGGAGCUGGAGGCAGGCGGAUGGAUCCUCGUCUCUGUGGGAAGUGUCAGCGCGUGGCUGCGGGAGAAGUGUGGUGGGCACCCAGCCUUGGGUCCACCUGUGUAGUUGCGUGUUUCAACAAUGUCCAUUUAUCCUUCACCCCAAGGCGUGAGUGUUUUGGGGGCUGCAAACGCCUCCUGGUAGAGGCUGGACUUGGGGACCCUUCCCACCUGUGCCCGACCCCUCCUGAAGUCCUGGCCGCAGCCCAUCCUCCAUGAGUCCCGGCAGCCCCAGGCCAUGCCCUUCCUCAAUCACCCAUCGACCCCUCACCUUGUCAUCCAGGGACCCAGACCCUGCACCUUCCACGUGGGGCCCCAGAUUCUUGGCAGGUACGUGAGGCACACCCUUGAAGGUCAGAAACGAGAAUGCACACGAGGCCGUGAGAAGGCUGGAACACAGAUUGCAGGGAAGAGAAAGAAGGCUGGAUGGCACGUUGAUGCCUCCUGAGGAGGGGGCCCCCCUCUUAGGGUGGGUGUGGGCCCUGCCCAGCCUCAUCCCCGCCUCCCUCCCGAGUCCCCUCCCCGCUCUGGCUCCUGGGAGCCCUCCCUGUGCUCCACCUGCCUCUGCAGAAGGGACCCUCUUCUCCCCGGGUGAGGGGCUGGCAGGUGGCCGACCCAUUUAGCGUCUCCGGGCGCUGCGCUGGUGUCUCAUCUUGCUGUUCUCUCUGGCUCUCUCUCAUUUCCUUUAGUCGUUGAAUUUUGCAAAGCUCGUAGCAGUAGCUCAAUUGCCUGCAGCAUCCUUGUGUGUAGAUAAAUUAGUCUAAUUGACAGAAACUCAGCACUGGGGACAGGAUUGCAAAGCCGGGGACAUAGAUGCAGACAGCUGUUGAGAUGUGGGGCCAGCUGGGCCUGUGAGUGGGGGCCUGUUUCCAGAAGCCUUUCAUCCUUCCCAUCCCCGGCCUUGGUGCGACGUCUGUGAGUUUGACCUGCCCAGCGCCUGGGCUGGCUCCGUGCUGAAUAAAGUGGGUUUGCUUCAGCCCGUUUGCGUCGUCUCCGUGUGUCCACGUGGCCUCUUCCCCCUGUCCCGGCCACCCUCCGCUGUUAAAGGAAUAUUCCUCCUGACACUUGUUAAAGUGUGGUGAGGAGGAUUUCACGGGGCCCAUCGAGAUGGCUGUGGAGCCCUUGCCUUGGGGCCUUGGGAGAGAUGGGGCUCCACCCCCACACAGCAGGACAGGGUGGGUGGAGAUGCCAAGGGGCAGGGUGGGGUCGGUGGGUGGGAAUGACUAAGAGGAGAUACGAGGGGUAAGUGCUCUGGCUAAACCCACCUCACCAGAUCCUUGCUGCAGGCGGGCAGGGUGAUCAGCUGUCGGCUGCAAACGAUCUGAUAGGAACCCGGUCAGGUACCAUUGAGGGUGGUUAGUUAAACCAAAUCAGGGUUCUUGCUAAAACUGGCUUUUGUAAGAAAGUGCACAGAGAGGGCCCUGGGAGAAGGUUCCAGAGCCUGGCUAGAGUUUGGCCAACCAGAGAAUCUCUGUCAGCACACCAACAACCUCCCGACCCUGAGACCUCAAGUUUGUUCUCAGCAUCUCUGCCCACUGCAGUCCGCUGUUGUCCCCAGUGCCCGUUCUACCCUGCCCUGUACACCUGCGAUGCUUACCCAGCCAGGCCCUCAUGACAGAGUCCCCCACAACACCAAACUCCACAUCACCAGGUCCUGAUGACAGAGUCCCCCACACCAAACUCCACGUCACCAGGUCCUGAUGACAAGAGUCCCCACAACACCAAACUCUGUAUCACCAGGACCUGACAACAGAGUCCCCCACACCAAACUCCACAUCACCAGGACCUGAUGACAGAGCCCCCCACACCAAACGCCACAUCACCAGGACCUGAUUACAGUCCCCCACACCACCAAACUCCACAUCACUAGGUCCUGAUGACAGAGUCCCCCACACCAAACUCCGCAUCACCAGGUCCUGAUGACAGAGUCCCCCACAACACCAAACUCUCCAUAUCACCAGGUGUGAGUGGCUUUACCGUCCUCACCUAGCCAACCAACAACAUCCCACCCUGUCAAUCACAACCUCUUUCUGUUUAAAACAAUGAUAUAUUUAUGGGGCACAAUGUGAUGCUUUGAUACCUGUGUACGCUGUGGAGUGGCAGAGUCAAGCAGAUGAAUGUAUCCACCUCACGUCUUUUGUGGUAAGAACAUUUGACAUCUGUGCUUGGCAGUUUCAGAUACAGUCACCCCUCAGUCUGAGGGGAAUUGGUCCCAGGACCCCGUUGUCGAUACCAAAAUGCACGGACGCUCAAGUGCCUCUGCAGGAUGUGGGACACAUACAGAGGCUGCGUGCACACAGCACACGGUUGUCCUCUGAAGUCGCCGUGCUGCGCAAAGGCCCUGAGUUCUUGUGAACAGGAACUCUGUACCCUCUGACCAGAAUUGCUCCAGAUCCCCUGUCCCAGCCCUUGCUAACUGCUGCUCUCUGUGUCUUUCGGAAAAUCAACAUUUUGAUUCCGCAUGUGAGAUCAUAAGAUAUUUGUCCUGUUCCCCGCUCAUUUCACUUAAUAUACUCCAGAUUCACCCAAGUAGCAAACGGCAGUUUUCCUUUUUAUAGCCGAAUAGUAUUCCACUGUGUGUAUCCACCUUAUCCCUUUAUCCACUGGCUUCUAGACCACCAAGGUUGAUUCCAUAUCUUGGCUGCUGUGAAAGUGCUGUAAGAAACAGAAGUGUGGGUAUCUCUUCCACUUAUUCAUGUCAUUUCCUUUGGGAAAAUGCUUAGUACCGAGUACCAGCUCAGCCGGGGAGACCCCACCCAGGCAGCGCUGAAGACAGUGAGAGGCAGACACACAGAACAGCGAAGUGGAUCUAUCUGGGGGGAGCAGCCUACCCCGCUGAGAGCCUCAGGGCUGACGCAUUCCAGGCUGAAGGCUCCGAGCAGAUUCUCAUCCACAUGGUCUCUCUCAACAGGUGAUUAUUAUUAACAAACAGGUGUUCUGUAUUUUCUCCUAACUCAUAAAUAUACAGUAGGCAGCUGUUACCGGCUUACCACUGACUACAGACAAACUCAAAGGCAUUCUCCAAGAGGGAGCCCCGGGGCAGGACCAGAUAUCUCAAAGCAUUGUUUUAACCGGUCAAUGAUAUUUCUACGUCGUCCUGCCACUUUGGAACGCCCCAAAUGCCUUUCCACUUGGGGAGGGGUCGGCUAGCUUUUCCUUGCCAUCGUUCUUCCUAGCAAGCAGUAUGUUCUAUCAUACACUCAGCGUUCAUCAAUAUUCAUAAACUCAGUAUUUCUCAAUAGCUUAGUGGUAGAAUUGCUGGGUCACAAUUCUAAUUUUUUCAGUAACCUCCAUAUGCUUCUCCAUGAUGGCUGUAUAAUUUACAUUCUCGCCAACACUGUAGCCUUUGAAAUGAGCCAUUCUGCUCCCAAGCUGCCCCUGCCUCCUUUCCUCUCCUCUCCUU